Molecule: ribosomal RNA, 497 nt
Filed under: uncultured bacterium
Lineage: Bacteria
Description: partial 16S ribosomal RNA
Rfam family: Bacterial small subunit ribosomal RNA
Source: RNAcentral
GAUGAACGCUGGCGGCGUGCCUAAUACAUGCAAGUCGAGCGAACAGACGAGGAGCUUGCUCCUCUGACGUUAGCGGCGGACGGGUGAGUAACACGUGGAUAACCUACCUAUAAGACUGGGAUAACUUCGGGAAACCGGAGCUAAUACCGGAUAAUAUAUUGAACCGCAUGGUUCAAUAGUGAAAGACGGUUUUGCUGUCACUUAUAGAUGGAUCCGCGCCGCAUUAGCUAGUUGGUAAGGUAACGGCUUACCAAGGCAACGAUGCGUAGCCGACCUGAGAGGAUGAUCAGCCACACUGGAACUGAGACACGGUCCAGACUCCUACGGGAGGCAGCAGUAGGGAAUCUUCCGCAAUGGGCGAAAGCCUGACGGAGCAACGCCGCGUGAGUGAUGAAGGUCUUCGGAUCGUAAAACUCUGUUAGUAGGGAAGAACAAAUGUGUAAGUAACUAUGCCCGUCUUGACGGUACCUAAUCAGAAAGCCACGGCUAACUACGUG